Molecule: ribosomal RNA, 495 nt
Filed under: Mustela putorius (European polecat)
Lineage: Eukaryota; Metazoa; Chordata; Mammalia; Carnivora; Mustelidae
Description: partial 12S ribosomal RNA
Source: RNAcentral
CAAAGGUUUGGUCCUAGCCUUCCUAUUGAUUAUUAACAGAAUUACACAUGCAAGUCUCUACACCCCAGUGAGAAUGCCCUCUAAAUCUAUAUGUUGAUUAAAAGGAGCGGGUAUCAAGCACACUAAAUUAGUAGCUCAUAACGCCUUGCUCAACCACACCCCCACGGGAUACAGCAGUGAUAAAAAUUAAGCCAUAAACGAAAGUUUGACUAAGCCAUGUUAACAAAGAGCUGGUAAAUUUCGUGCCAGCCACCGCGGUCAUACGAUUAGCCCGAAUCAAUAGGCAAACGGCGUAAAACGUGUUAAGGAUUAUAUUAUACUAAAGUUAAAAUUUGACAAGGCUGUAAAAAGCUACUGUUAAUAUAAGAUAAACCACGAAAGUGACUUUAUUACUUCCAUCAACACGAUAGCUGAGACCCAAACUGGGAUUAGAUACCCCACUAUGCUCAGCCCUAAACAUAAAUAAUUAUCACAACAAAAUUAUCUGCCAGAGAA